This 490-nucleotide ribosomal RNA is filed under the name uncultured bacterium. RNAcentral describes it as "partial 16S ribosomal RNA". It matches the Rfam family "Bacterial small subunit ribosomal RNA", at positions 30 to 507 of the family's 1533-position model. The record is from RNAcentral.
AUUGAACGCUGGCGGCAGGCCUAACACAUGCAAGUCGAACGGUAACAGGAAGAAGCUUGCUUCUUUGCUGACGAGUGGCGGACGGGUGUGAAAUGUCUGGGAAACUGCUUGAUGGAGGGGGAUAACUACUGGAAACGGUAGCUAAUACCGCAUAACGUCGCAAGACCAAAGAGGGGGACCUUCGGGCCUCUUGCCAGCGGAUGUGCCCAGGUGGGAUUAGCUAGUAGGUGGGGUAACGGCUCACCUAGGCGACGAUCCCUAGCUGGUCUGAGAGGAUGACCGGCCACACUGGAACUGAGACACGGUCCAGACUCCUACGGGAGGCAGCAGUGGGGAAUAUUGCACAAUGGGCGCAAGCCUGAUGCAGCCAUGCCGCGUGUAUGAAGAAGGCCUUCGGGUUGUAAAGUACUUUUAGCGGGGAGGAAGGGAGUAAAGUUAAUACCUUUGCUCAUUGACGUUACCCGCAGAAAAAGCACCGGCUAACUCCGUG